This 993-nucleotide ribosomal RNA is filed under the name Candidatus Phytoplasma trifolii. RNAcentral's name for it is "bacterial SSU rRNA". It matches the Rfam family "Bacterial small subunit ribosomal RNA", at positions 152 to 1142 of the family's 1533-position model. Lineage: Bacteria; Bacillati; Mycoplasmatota; Mollicutes; Acholeplasmatales; Acholeplasmataceae. The record is from RNAcentral.
GGAAACGGUUGCUAAGACUGGAUAGGAAACAAAAAGGCAUCUUUUUGUUUUUAAAAGACCUUCUUAUGAAGGUAUGCUUAAAGAGGGGCUUGCGCCACAUUAGUUAGUUGGUAGGGUAAAAGCCUACCAAGACGAUGAUGUGUAGCUGGACUGAGAGGUUGAACAGCCACAUUGGGACUGAGACACGGCCCAAACUCCUACGGGAGGCAGCAGUAGGGAAUUUUCGGCAAUGGAGGAAACUCUGACCGAGCAACGCCGCGUGAACGAUGAAGUAUUUCGGUAUGUAAAGUUCUUUUAUUGAAGAAGAAAAAGUAGUGGAAAAACUAUAUUGACGUUAUUCAAUGAAUAAGCCCCGGCUAACUAUGUGCCAGCAGCCGCGGUAAGACAUAGGGGGCGAGCGUUAUCCGGAAUUAUUGGGCGUAAAGGGUGCGUAGGCUGUUAGAUAAGUCUAUAAUUUAAUUUCAGUGCUUAACGCUGUCUUGUUAUAGAAACUGUCUUGACUAGAGUGAGAUAGAGGCAAGCGGAAUUCCAUGUGUAGCGGUAAAAUGUGUAAAUAUAUGGAGGAACACCAGAAGCGUAGGCGGCUUGCUGGGUCUUUACUGACGCUGAGGCACGAAAGCGUGGGUAGCAAACAGGAUUAGAUACCCUGGUAGUCCACGCCGUAAACGAUGAGUACUAAGUGUCGGGGUAAAACUCGGUACUGAAGUUAACACAUUAAGUACUCCGCCUGAGUAGUACGUACGCAAGUAUGAAACUUAAAGGAAUUGACGGGACUCCGCACAAGCGGUGGAUCAUGUUGUUUAAUUCGAAGAUACACGAAAAUCCUUACCAGGUCUUGACAUACUCUGCAAAGCUAUAGAAAUAUAGUGGAGGUUAUCAGGGAUACAGGUGGUGCAUGGUUGUCGUCAGUUCGUGUCGUGAGAUGUUAGGUUAAGUCCUAAAACGAGCGCAACCCUUGUCGUUAAUUGCCAGCACGUAAUGGUGGGGACUUUA